CGUAGGGUGCGAGCGUUAAUCGGAAUUACUGGGCGUAAAGGGUGCGCAGGCGGUUAUGAAAGACAGGCGUGAAAUCCCCGGGCUUAACCUGGGAACUGCGUUUGUGACUACAUGACUCGAGUACGGCGAGGGGGUGGAAUUCCACGUGUAGCAGUGAAAUGCGUAGAGAUGUGGAGGAACACCGAUGGCGAAGGCAGCCCCCUGGGCCAGUACUGACGCUCAUGCACGAAAGCGUGGGGAGCAAACAGGAUUAGAUACCCUGGUAGUCCACGCCCUAAACGAUGUCAACUAGUUGUUGGUAGGGUAAAACCUAUUAGUAACGUAGCUAACGCGUGAAGUUGACCGCCUGGGGAGUACGGCCGCAAGGUUA
RNAcentral lists this ribosomal RNA (370 nucleotides) under uncultured organism. Its description in RNAcentral is "bacterial SSU rRNA". It matches the Rfam family "Bacterial small subunit ribosomal RNA", at positions 526 to 896 of the family's 1533-position model. The record is from RNAcentral.